AUACGGAAGGUCCGGGCGUUAUCCGGAUUUAUUGGGUUUAAAGGGAGCGCAGGCGGCACUUCAAGCGUGACGUUAAAUUUCGGGGCUCACCCCCGUUGUGCGUCGCGAACUGUUGUGCUUGAGUAGGCGGCAGGGAGGCGGAAUUCGCGGUGUAGCGGUGAAAUGCUUAGAUAUCGCGAGGAACUCCGAUAGCGCAGGCAGCCUCCCGUUGCUUUACUGACGCUCAUGCUCGAAGGUGCGGGUAUCGAACAGGAUUAGAUACCCUGGUAGUCCGUACUGUAAACGAUGGAUGCCCGCUGUUGGGCCUGUUAGGUUCAGUGGCCAAGAGAAAUCGUUAAGCAUCCCACCUGGGGAGUACGCCGGCAACGGUGAAACUCAAAUGAAUUGACGGGG
Molecule: ribosomal RNA, 393 nt
Filed under: uncultured bacterium
Lineage: Bacteria
Description: partial 16S ribosomal RNA
Rfam family: Bacterial small subunit ribosomal RNA
Source: RNAcentral